Molecule: long non-coding RNA, 2610 nt
Filed under: Homo sapiens (human)
Lineage: Eukaryota; Metazoa; Chordata; Mammalia; Primates; Hominidae
Description: TSNAX-DISC1 readthrough (NMD candidate), transcript variant 7 (TSNAX-DISC1)
Source: RNAcentral
ACGUGAGAGGAGACUUCCGGCCACUGCGUUGUAGUCGGCCCGGCUGCAAAGCGUUUUUCUGCAGGCUGUUUUCCCAGGUUCCCUCGGCCUGUACCUCGCGCACUCCUCUUGCUCCAGGUCCUUCAGUCUCCGCUCGUCUCACCGUAGGCUGUGACGACAUGAGCAACAAAGAAGGAUCAGGAGGGUUCAGGAAAAGGAAGCAUGACAAUUUCCCACAUAACCAAAGAAGAGAAGGGAAGGAUGUUAAUUCAUCUUCACCCGUGAUGUUGGCCUUUAAAUCAUUUCAGCAGGAACUUGAUGCAAGGCAUGACAAAUAUGAGAGACUUGUGAAACUUAGUCGGGAUAUAACUGUUGAAAGUAAAAGGACAAUUUUUCUCCUCCAUAGGAUUACAAGUGCUCCUGAUAUGGAAGAUAUAUUGACUGAAUCAGAAAUUAAAUUGGAUGGUGUCAGACAAAAGAUAUUCCAGGUAGCCCAAGAGCUAUCAGGGGAAGAUAUGCAUCAGUUCCAUCGAGCCAUUACUACAGGACUACAGGAAUAUGUGGAAGCUGUCUCUUUUCAACACUUCAUCAAAACACGAUCAUUAAUUAGUAUGGAUGAAAUUAAUAAACAAUUGAUAUUUACGACUGAAGACAAUGGGAAAGAAAAUAAAACUAAGUUUACAGGCAAGAUCCUACUCACAGAGGCUCUUGGGAUCAAGGCUGACAGAAGCUCCAUCUGAAGACUUUUAUACUAUAGAGGCAGAAAAAGAGUGAUGAAUCAAGCACUGGCUUCUAAAGCUUCCGCCCAGAUGGGAAGCAUAUCUCCUCUGCUCACAUUUCCCUGACCAAAGCCAGUCACAUGGCCAUCCUCAGCUUCAGAGAGGUUGGGAAGGCAUUCCCACUAUGUGUCUGGAUGCCAGCAACUCAGAAAUAUUUGCCUUACAGAGACCUCACCAUUAACAGCAUCUGCAAGAGAAGAUUAAAGCACACGAUUACUUUACUCACUGUGUAACACAUGAGGAACAUGGACGAGAUGGGAAAAAGGCAGCCGGGAUUGCUUACCACCUGCAGCGUGCUUUCGGAGGCGGCGGCUGGCACGGAGGCCGGGCUACAUGAGAAGCUCGACAGGGCCUGGGAUCGGGUUCCUUUCCCCAGCAGUGGGCACACUGUUCCGGUUCCCAGGAGGGGUGUCUGGCGAGGAGUCCCACCACUCGGAGUCCAGGGCCAGACAGUGUGGCCUUGACUCGAGAGGCCUCUUGGUCCGGAGCCCUGUUUCCAAGAGUGCAGCAGCCCCUACUGUGACCUCUGUGAGAGGAACCUCGGCGCACUUUGGGAUUCAGCUCAGAGGUGGCACCAGAUUGCCUGACAGGCUUAGCUGGCCGUGUGGCCCUGGGAGUGCUGGGUGGCAGCAAGAGUUUGCAGCCAUGGAUAGUUCUGAGACCCUGGACGCCAGCUGGGAGGCAGCCUGCAGCGAUGGAGCAAGGCGUGUCCGGGCAGCAGGCUCUCUGCCAUCAGCAGAGUUGAGUAGCAACAGCUGCAGCCCUGGCUGUGGCCCUGAGGUCCCCCCAACCCCUCCUGGCUCUCACAGUGCCUUUACCUCAAGCUUUAGCUUUAUUCGGCUCUCGCUUGGCUCUGCCGGGGAACGUGGAGAAGCAGAAGGCUGCCCACCAUCCAGAGAGGCUGAGUCCCAUUGCCAGAGCCCCCAGGAGAUGGGAGCCAAAGCUGCCAGCUUGGACGGGCCUCACGAGGACCCGCGAUGUCUCUCUCGGCCCUUCAGUCUCUUGGCUACACGGGUCUCUGCAGACUUGGCCCAGGCCGCAAGGAACAGCUCCAGGCCAGAGCGUGACAUGCAUUCUUUACCAGACAUGGACCCUGGCUCCUCCAGUUCUCUGGAUCCCUCACUGGCUGGCUGUGGUGGUGAUGGGAGCAGCGGCUCAGGGGAUGCCCACUCUUGGGACACCCUGCUCAGGAAAUGGGAGCCAGUGCUGCGGGACUGCCUGCUGAGAAACCGGAGGCAGAUGGAGGUAAUAUCCUUAAGAUUAAAACUUCAGAAACUUCAGGAAGAUGCAGUUGAGAAUGAUGAUUAUGAUAAAGGUGAGUUUUAAUUUGUUUAUUGAUUGUUUUGUCAUCAUGUCCCAAUUUUCUUUCCAUCUUUACUCAUAUCUACCUUUUGAAUCCCAAAAGAAUUGUACAAUCUGUUCCUCUGAUCAUCUCUACCAGGGAAUAGUUGACUCUUUUACAGCAUUAUUGUUUUGUAGAUUUCAAAGUACUUCAUGAACAUUAAUCCUUUGGGUUAUAAAUAUAACCUUAUCAAUUGUCCAGAAACACUUAGCAUACUCACACAAUAAAAAUUAUAUUAGCUUGCCACCUGUCUGCCCAUGGUGUGAUGUAUCUAUAAUCCACUUGUUCAUAAAAAAUAUUCGUCUGACACCUAUGAUAUGCUAGGGAAUAUGGGAGACAAUAGGAAAGUAAGACAGACAUGGUAUCUGCCCUUGUGAUGCCAGUAAACUUAAGCCUUCAUGGGGCUCUCUGACUUCAUAAUUUCCAGAACCAGAGAUAGGAAAUGAGGUGAAUUUGAGAAAUGUCAGACUGUGCCAAAGGGGGUCACAUGCAUCAAAUUUCCACAUACAU